GAAGUCAGCGCACCCUUGUGUUGGGUAGGUUCAACUAUUGGCACAUUGCGCGCGGGGGUCGGAAGCCGUUGGAAAGGUUUUUUGUAAGGAACAAGUUUCAGUUCGGCGGUACUGGGACACUGUUUGCCGUUGCUGGCUUUUGGCAAUUAAAGCGCAACAGGUUUCUGUGUUUCACGGCGGCGCCUUAUUUUCAUCAGAAAUUGAGAGCUGAAGAAACAAAAAACAGCUUUAACUUUAACAGAACUACUGACCCUAAUACAAAGGGGGUUUUUUUUCUUACCCAAAGGAGUGCACGCGCCUCGUCGGGUUGUGGUGCCGCGGAGGAGCUGCCAGCGUGUCGCGCUUUGACGUGAUGGAAUCCGGGGGGGGGGGGGGGCUGCAUCGUUUUCACCCAAAUCUGACCUGGAGCGGAGGACGUCGCACCGUGCGGCUUCUGACGGCAAGAAGCGACCCCCGUGUCCCGGAUGGAGCGUACAGCGAGCUCGAAGAGCUCCCCGGGGACACCGUCAUUGCUCAACAGCUGUGCAUCAACUUCACAAAGGAGAAAGUACAACCAGCCGCCUGUUCAUCCUGGAGCAGGAGUACAAGAGGGGGGGGGGACAUUGAAUGGACCUUCAAGCCUGCGUUAGUCUCUUUGAUUAAGGUAAACAAUGCAUUCGAUCCAUAAGAGUUAAACUAUAAACACGUUCCACAGGGAGAGGUAUGCAACACUCGGCCCUGUCUGCAGCCACUGGGUCACAUGUCCACCCUGGGAAGCACACAACACGCUGACUGGACAAUAAUAAAGACCCACAUCCCAGCUUCACCAGGAAAACCUGAACGAGCCGGUGGACCAACCUACGCAGCAGCCGAGCCUCCCCCCCCCCUCUCCCCCUCUCCCCUCGUUCGCUGCAUCAUCCCCGAUGAGAGCACGGCUCCAGUGAGGCUCUCUGAUGAUCACCCAGUGGAACCUACGGGCCUUUAAUGCGGAUGAAGCUCUUCAAAUUCAAGCCUUUUUCAAAGAAGGACACUCUUGCAGAUGCCGAGGAUCGCUGUAAGCUACCUCAUCCAAACGAAGAUUGUGAUGGAGGCAAAAAGGGGAAAGAGACCACGGAGAGGCUGGAGGCCGAGGAGAUGACCUUCAACGUGCUGACCAAGAAGCGCAAGUCCUAAAGAGAGACAUUGAUGAUCUGGAGAUCACGCUGGCUGAAGUGGAAAAAGGAGAAACAUGCCACCGAGAACAAGGUGAAAAAUCUCGUUGAUGGGACGAUAAUUCGGUGUGAAACCAUAAUGAAGUUGACCAAAGAGAAGAAGGCUCUCCAGGAGCAGACUGGAAGACCUGCAGGCAGAGGAAGACAAAGUCAACUCUCUGACAAACGCAAAGGCAAGCAUAGGGUGAUGCAAGUAUAGUCCCGGCCUUAUACACACGUGGCACCAUCCCAUAAUAAAAACACAAGAAGAAGAAACAGAUCUCCUGAAGCUGCUGCGAGACCUGGAGGAAUCUAGGAGGCCGCUACGGCAACCUUGUGGAAGAAACACGCUGGUCAAGCGGAAGCUGGAGAGGAGCGAGGUCACUUGGAGGUUGAUUAUCUCUCUCAAGGGAAAGGCCACUUCAAAGAAGAUGUCCAUCCUCCUGAUUGGUCUCCUAAGGCUAAGAAAGUCCUGGCACACACACUGCAGUCAUCUCAACAUGAAUGUCAUCUCCUGAGGGAGCAGUGCAGUGAGCAGGAAGCCCAAGUUGAGAUGGAAGGUUCCACAGUGGAGGACCAAGUACAAAACUGACGCCAUCCAGAAAACUGAGGAGCUUGAUGAAGCCAAGGUGGAUGAGACGAGCUGAAGAAACCAUAUGGAAAACGAGGAAAGCGUCGAAGACAUUUUAAUCCCAGUGUUUUGUACUCGCUCUUUUGAUGCAGAACACUUGCCGGAUCAACUACAAGAAGACGCUGAAGAAGGAACAGCGAAUCAUUGACGCAGUGAUGAUGGCAAAGGAGCAGGACACUACUGCCUAUCUGGAGAGGAUGAAGAAUAAAAAAGGAGGAGCAGGCAAACACCAACAGAACCAAGAACAGGCCGAAUCACAGGUCAACAAGAUCCAGAUCCACACCCGGGACAGAGCACGCUGAGUGACGGGAGGCGGGGAGAGCUUACCGGACAAACAUGUCACAGCAAGCCAGCUGCAACAGCUGUGCUCAUCGGUGACAUCGCGGCCCGAAUAAAGACUUCAGAAAUGAACCUCGCAGCGCG
Molecule: long non-coding RNA, 2223 nt
Organism: Pungitius pungitius (ninespine stickleback)
Lineage: Eukaryota; Metazoa; Chordata; Actinopteri; Perciformes; Gasterosteidae
Exons: 11
Source: RefSeq, a predicted model, not a curated record